Tigriopus californicus is the source of this 949-nucleotide long non-coding RNA. RefSeq lists it as uncharacterized. NCBI's taxonomy places the organism in Eukaryota, Metazoa, Arthropoda, Copepoda, Harpacticoida, Harpacticidae. The record is from RefSeq and is a predicted model, not a curated record. The transcript is spliced from 3 exons.
GCUCGUCAACAAAAGUGGGGAUCAUUUUGAAAAUUCGUCAUUUGGAUUCCAGCAACUUAUAGGUCUACCAUCUCUUAUGAAGGACAUUUCAGUGACCUAAUGCGAUAUGAACAGAUAAGAGUGCGCAACUCAACCGCCGGGUAGAGGUCUCUAUGUAUUUCAUCUUUUUGCAUAACUCAACGCAGUCUCCUGCAGCUUAUGAAUUGACCAACUUAUUGUCACCUUUUACCUAUAAUCAUGUCUUUACAACAAAUUACUGAGAAAGAUAAUGAAGAUAAUUCGUUUUCUUAUGAUAUGCCCACAGGAAUCGUAUGGGGUGACAUUGACUUGGACGAAGACUGUGGCUGAUUUGGACCUCGCCCUGUUAGAAACGAAUUGUAAUUGCCUAUAUGUCUUGUCUAGACUGGAAGGCGAAUGCAAUCUGGAUUUAUUAGCUGCGGCCGCUGGUGAUAUACCCACAUUGGACGGAAUUGAAGUAGGGGUUGUUUUUCCUCCCCCAAACCCAUCCAUAACUCCAAAGAAUUCCUUGUUGUUGUGAAAAAUCCCGAAAGGGUGCCUGGCAUGGUGGAUUCUGGGAUGGUCAUAACGAUCUACAAUGGCGUGACAUCAGAGGUUUUUUAUGUUCCUACGACGGAACCAGAACCUAAUAGCUUAUUUUGGAUUGCUGGUUCCCUAAAUAGUGAAACAGCUCAAUUUACUCCUAAGCCUGUGUCCGAGAGCCUGAUUGGUAGCGAUUUGAGCCCCUUUGGCGAGUGCCAAACCUUGGUGGAAGAGGGCUUUGUUAAAUAGAUGUAAUCCUCUGACAAAACUUAUCUUCUAUUUAUGUUCAUGACAUAUUGGAACUGAAAACUGUGUCCCUCGCUUGCAGAUUUUGGGUCUGAUUUAGAUUAAUCUCUUUGCUUUGCAUUGUAAAUAAUAAAACUGGACUUGUAAAAGUGUCAUUUCUUCA